AUAUAUGAGGAGUUAAUCCACGUAAUUGAGGUGUAGAUGGCCUCAAGUCCCUGUUUUACAGGGAGAACCUACUACAGUUGCUGUAUGAAAGCAGGAAAUCACUGGAUAU
Molecule: small nucleolar RNA, 109 nt
Filed under: Olea europaea subsp. europaea
Lineage: Eukaryota; Viridiplantae; Streptophyta; Magnoliopsida; Lamiales; Oleaceae
Description: Small nucleolar RNA Z278
Rfam family: Small nucleolar RNA Z278
About the family: snoZ278 is a C/D box small nucleolar RNA. Its methylation guide targets have not been reported.
Source: Rfam by way of RNAcentral